UGAGUCCGGUGUGGGGUUAGCUCUUUUGCGCUAUUUAACGAUAAGGAUAAAAAUGUUGUUUAUGCGGUUCUGUUUUUAAAUUUAAACACUCAACAAGCUCCUUAGGAUGUCAGCUAAAUAGCUCCAUUCAUCCUGGGUGUUUUGGAUGAGGAAAAUGAUCACGGCUGACGGCUGUGAUGCUGACCUGGCUUCAAGAAAGCUCAAAGAGGACAGGAAAUGGAUCAGAGUUGAAUGACAGCAGCAGCAGUCUGACAGACCUUCACUACAAAAGAAAACGGAAGUCGCACUCCGCAAGCUAGCAUUACCACAUCCAACGGGGAACCUGGUGCUACACAAACACCUGUGACAUAUUUUCAGAUAAAAGCAGUUGGUGCUCUACAUGGAGUGUGUGACGCAUGUGGGUGAAGAGCCAGCGCCAGCACAGG
Long non-coding RNA from Fundulus heteroclitus (mummichog), 425 nucleotides. RefSeq lists it as uncharacterized. Lineage: Eukaryota; Metazoa; Chordata; Actinopteri; Cyprinodontiformes; Fundulidae. The record is from RefSeq and is a predicted model, not a curated record. The transcript has 3 exons.